UACGUAGGUGGCAAGCGUUAUCCGGAUUUACUGGGUGUAAAGGGCGCGCAGCCGGGGCUGCAAGUCAGAUGUGAAAACUAUAGGCUUAACCUGUAGCCUGCAUUUGAAACUGUAGUUCUUGAGUACUGGAGAGGUUGACGGAAUUCCAUGUGUAGCGGUGAAAUGCGUAGAUAUAUGGAAGAACACCAGUGGCGAAGGCGGUCAACUGGACAGCAACUGACGGUGAGGCGCGAAAGCGUGGGGAG
RNAcentral lists this ribosomal RNA (245 nucleotides) under uncultured Flavonifractor sp. Its description in RNAcentral is "partial 16S ribosomal RNA". It matches the Rfam family "Bacterial small subunit ribosomal RNA", at positions 524 to 768 of the family's 1533-position model. Lineage: Bacteria; Bacillati; Bacillota; Clostridia; Eubacteriales; Oscillospiraceae. The record is from RNAcentral.